GCUUCCUGCGUAGACUGUGAGGCGAAGUCUAAGCUGACUCGCUUAUGCUGGCUGAGCAUGGAGGAUCUGAAAGAGGAUAUCAAGUUCAUCAUGGACAAGACCUUGGACUUCAGAGGGCUGUCCCCAUCUGACAGCCAUGAGGAAGAAGAUAUAACAGUAUUAGUGAGUCCAGAGAAACCACUUCGACGGGGCCUUGCCCAUCGGAGUAACCCAAAUGAAGUAGCUCCUGCCCUCCAGGGUGAUUGGUUCAGCUUGGGCCCACUCAGCCCAGAGAAACUGGAGGAAAUCCUCGAUGAAGCCAACCGCCUGGCAGCUCAGCUGUGCCCUGAAAGAUCUGGAGAGGGCUGGUACAGACCCUGGAAGGCCCAGCCCCAGAGGGAAGCCCAGCCCUCGGCGGGAGACCUUCGUCCUGAAGGACAGCCCUGUGAGAUCUGCUGCCCACUGUGAGUUCUUGGAGUACCCCACCUCCAAGCAGCCUAACCGGGCUGCAGAGCAGUGAUAAAAAGGGGUCAGCCAGGCCUGUCCGGGUGGCAUCUGGAAAGAAGCCCUCUAGCAUAAAGAAGGAAUCACCCACGUGCAAUCUGUUCCCUGCAUCCCAAAGCCCAGGGCGCUCUCCUCUUGCACAACCAACUCUUCUGCCCGGACAACAGCAAGCCCACCAAUUCCUGUCAGACCAGUUCCACAGUCCUCAGCUAGCAACUCCCAAGGUUCAUCCUGGCUCCAGGGAGCAACUGCCAAGUCUUCCAGUCGACUCCCCGUCCCCUCAGCCAUCCCCAAGCCUGCCACCCGAGUGCCACUCACUGGGCGGAAUAUACCACCUGGAAAAGGUGCCCUAGCUCCAGAUUCUCUCUCAACUCAGAAAGGGCAUCCAAGUGCCGUAGGGCACAGAGCCUCUGUUUCCCAGAAAGCAAAUCUUCCAACCACCAGUGCCGCUCGAGGCAGGAUGCAGCCCCUCAGGAAAGCUGCAGUCCCUGGACUAACUAGGUAA
RNA transcript from Mus pahari (shrew mouse), 988 nucleotides. It is a transcript of the gene named proline/serine-rich coiled-coil protein 1 pseudogene, with no coding region annotated. Lineage: Eukaryota; Metazoa; Chordata; Mammalia; Rodentia; Muridae. The transcript has a single exon. The record is from RefSeq and is a predicted model, not a curated record.